UACGUAGGGGGCGAGCGUUAUCCGGAUUUAUUGGGCGUAAAGCGUGUGUAGGCGGUUUGUUAAGUCUGAGAUUAAAGCCCGAGGCUCAACCUCGGUUCGUUUCAGAAACUGGCAGACUUGAGUGUGGUAGAGGCAAGUGGAAUUUCUAGUGUAGCGGUUAAAUGCGUAGAUAUUAGAAGGAACACCAGUGGCGAAGGCGGCUUCCUGGUCUGCAACUGACACUGAGGCGCGAAAGCGUGGGGAGCAAACAGG
RNAcentral lists this ribosomal RNA (252 nucleotides) under uncultured Mollicutes bacterium. Its description in RNAcentral is "partial 16S ribosomal RNA". It matches the Rfam family "Bacterial small subunit ribosomal RNA", at positions 524 to 776 of the family's 1533-position model. The record is from RNAcentral. Lineage: Bacteria; Bacillati; Mycoplasmatota; Mollicutes.